GUCGAACGGUAGAGGGGGCAACCCCUCGAGAGUGGCGAACGGGUGAGUAAUAUAUCGGAACGUGCCCAGUCGUGGGGGAUAACGUAGCGAAAGUUACGCUAAUACCGCAUACGAUCUACGGAUGAAAGCGGGGGACUCGCAAGAGCCUCGCGCGAUUGGAGCGGCCGAUAUCAGAUUAGGUAGUUGGUGGGGUAAAGGCUCACCAAGCCAACGAUCUGUAGCUGGUCUGAGAGGACGACCAGCCACACUGGAACUGAGACACGGUCCAGACUCCUACGGGAGGCAGCAGUGGGGAAUUUUGGACAAUGGACGCAAGUCUGAUCCAGCCAUUCCGCGUGCAGGAUGAAGGCCCUCGGGUUGUAAACUGCUUUUGUACGGAACGAAAAGGUUUCUAUUAAUACUAGGAGCUCAUGACGGUACCGUAAGAAUAAGCACCGGCUAACUACGUGCCAGCAGCCGCGGUAAUACGUAGGGUGCAAGCGUUAAUCGGAAUUACUGGGCGUAAAGCGUGCGCAGGCGGUUAUGUAAGACAGAGGUGAAAUCCCCGGGCUCAACCUGGGAACUGCCUUUGUGACUGCAUAGCUAGAGUACGGUAGAGGGGGAUGGAAUUCCGCGUGUAGCAGUGAAAUGCGUAGAUAUGCGGAGGAACACCGAUGGCGAAGGCAAUCCCCUGGACCUGUACUGACGCUCAUGCACGAAAGCGUGGGGAGCAAACAGGAUUAGAUACCCUGGUAGUCCACGCCCUAUACG
This 750-nucleotide ribosomal RNA is filed under the name uncultured bacterium. Its description in RNAcentral is "bacterial SSU rRNA". It matches the Rfam family "Bacterial small subunit ribosomal RNA", at positions 61 to 808 of the family's 1533-position model. The record is from RNAcentral.